GUUCCUCCUCUCUCCUUUACUGGCCCACUGACCGAAAAGGAAAUUUCACCAAAUUUCCCACUCCCACUCCACUCUCCUCUCUCUCAGACAACUAACCCUAAACCUCAGCGGUGGCAGCUGCGACGGGUACAGGCGUACAGGCGCAACGCGGCGGCGGCCGGCAGCGUAGUAUGGCGCAAGCUCGUGGUGGUGCAGGAGCGGCGGCGGUGGCUGUGGCGCGGGCACCCAGUGUUGGCGCAGGCGCACGACAGCGGUGGCAGUGUUGGACAGCGCCGCGGCUGUUGGCGCAGGCGGCCAGGCGCCGAGGCGCGCGGGAGUUGCAACGCAACGGCCGCGGCACUACCACUGUCUAGGCCGGCCAGGACAUGGCGCCGCCACCCCGCGCACAUCAAGCAGCCCCCAGGGGCCUCUUCACCGGAGAGCCCCGCCGCCAUUGUCGUCGUCCGCCGCCCCGGGAAGUCGCUAGUCGCCGCACAACUUCGGACCGCCUCCGUUCGUAUCAAGCACUGGUCAUGUUUGCAGGAAGCGAGUGCUUGCGCCGGUUACCGGAAUUUCUAAGAUGAUUCUUUCUAGGGUGAUUCCUAGUCGGUUGCCUGUGUGGUUUGGUAGAUGGGCAUACCGAAAAACUUAUGAAUCUUUUCUGCUGUAUUUUAAACUC
This 658-nucleotide long non-coding RNA is filed under the name Oryza sativa Indica Group (long-grained rice). RNAcentral describes it as "lncRNA OsZS97_07G010690". The record is from RNAcentral. Lineage: Eukaryota; Viridiplantae; Streptophyta; Magnoliopsida; Poales; Poaceae.